CCUACGGGGGGCUGCAGUGAGGAAUAUUGGUCAAUGGACGAGAGUCUGAACCAGCCAAGUAGCGUGAAGGAUGACUGCCCUAUGGGUUGUAAACUUCUUUUAUAAAGGAAUAAAACGAGGCACGUGUGCCUUUUUGCAUGUACUUUAUGAAUAAGGAUCGGCUAACUCCGUGCCAGCAGCCGCGGUAAUACGGAGGAUCCGAGCGUUAUCCGGAUUUAUUGGGUUUAAAGGGAGCGUAGAUGGGUUGUUAAGUCAGUUGUGAAAGUUUGCGGCUCAACCGUAAAAUUGCAAUUGAUACUGGCAGUCUAGAGUACAGUUGAGGUAGGCGGAAUUCGAGGUGUAGCGGUGAAAUGCUUAGAUAUCACGAAGAACCCCGAUUGCGAAGGCAGCUUACUAAACUGUGACUGACAUUGAUGCUCGAAAGUGUGGGUAUCAAACAGGAUUAGAUACCCUUGUUGUC
RNAcentral lists this ribosomal RNA (460 nucleotides) under uncultured bacterium. RNAcentral describes it as "partial 16S ribosomal RNA". It matches the Rfam family "Bacterial small subunit ribosomal RNA", at positions 338 to 795 of the family's 1533-position model. The record is from RNAcentral.